This 65-nucleotide transfer RNA is filed under the name Pegomya bicolor. RNAcentral's name for it is "tRNA-Cys". The record is from RNAcentral. Lineage: Eukaryota; Metazoa; Arthropoda; Insecta; Diptera; Anthomyiidae.
AGUUUUAUAGUCAAUAAAUGAUAUUAGAUUGCAAUUCUAAAGGAGUAAAUAAUUUACUAAGACUU